UGAGAAAACAAAAUUCUGGAUUGAAGAGA
RNAcentral lists this non-coding RNA (29 nucleotides) under Mus musculus (house mouse). The record is from RNAcentral. Lineage: Eukaryota; Metazoa; Chordata; Mammalia; Rodentia; Muridae.